This 603-nucleotide ribosomal RNA is filed under the name uncultured fungus. RNAcentral describes it as "eukaryotic LSU rRNA". It matches the Rfam family "Eukaryotic large subunit ribosomal RNA", at positions 23 to 641 of the family's 3401-position model. Lineage: Eukaryota; Fungi. The record is from RNAcentral.
ACCCGCUGAACUUAAGCAUAUCAAUAAGCGGAGGAAAAGAAACCAACAGGGAUUGCCCUAGUAACGGCGAGUGAAGCGGCGACAGCUCAAAUUUGAAAUCUGGCUCUUUUAGAGUCCGAGUUGUAAUUUGCAGAGGGCGCUUUGGCUUUGGCAGCGGUCCAAGUUCCUUGGAACAGGACGUCACAGAGGGUGAGAAUCCCGUACGUGGUCGCUGGCUAUUGCCGUGUAAAGCCCCUUCGACGAGUCGAGUUGUUUGGGAAUGCAGCUCUAAAUGGGAGGUACAUUUCUUCUAAAGCUAAAUAUUGGCCAGAGACCGAUAGCGCACAAGUAGAGUGAUCGAAAGAUGAAAAGCACUUUGGAAAGAGAGUCAAACAGCACGUGAAAUUGUUGAAAGGGAAGCGCUUGCAGCCAGACUUGCUUACAGUUGCUCAUCCGGGCUUUUGCCCGGUGCACUCUUCUGUAGGCAGGCCAGCAUCAGUUUGGGCGGUAGGAUAAAGGUCUCUGUCACGUACCUCUCUUCGGGGAGGCCUUAUAGGGGAGACGACAUACUACCAGCCUGGACUGAGGUCCGCGCAUCUGCUAGGAUGCUGGCGUAAUGGCUGU